This is a non-coding RNA of Morchella snyderi, 101 nucleotides long. The record is from the annotation of a GenBank genome assembly. NCBI's taxonomy places the organism in Eukaryota, Fungi, Ascomycota, Pezizomycetes, Pezizales, Morchellaceae.
GCCAUUAUGGCCGAGUGGUCUAAGGCGGCACAUUUAAGUUUCUCAUUUGAGAAAAACCUGUGUUAUCGAAAGAUGCGUGCGUUCGAACCGCACUGAUGGCA